Long non-coding RNA from Entelurus aequoreus (snake pipefish), 716 nucleotides. RefSeq lists it as uncharacterized. The record is from RefSeq and is a predicted model, not a curated record. NCBI's taxonomy places the organism in Eukaryota, Metazoa, Chordata, Actinopteri, Syngnathiformes, Syngnathidae. The transcript is spliced from 2 exons.
AGGUCCAGGUGGUUGAAGAAUAAUCCACCCUUGCGAGUAGAGCGUGCAAGAGUUGCAUGUCGUCUAGACAGCGUCCUUUCGGAAUGGUGGCUCUGUAUGUCAAGUCCAGACAGACCAAGAUAGGGGAUUUGGUCAUACGGGGCAGGACAUUGGGACAUACCGGGAUCUGUGGUCCUGGGUUCAAUCACCCAGUGAUGGUGACGACAACGUCCCAUUGGUCUAGCUGUAAUUAGCUAAUGGAUUUUGGCUAUCAGUUGUAGUUCUAGCAGCUGUCAGUCACAGCCUGAUUGUCCUCCAGACAGACAGUAUCUUAGGACAUAACAUGCAUGGCAACGAGUCACUGGAAGAGGAAGACUGGAUCAAACAUAAUGGACAUCUUUCUUGGAUUACUCAUGCACUCAUACAGCACUGAGGAUCACGGGGGGUGCUGGAGCCUAUCUCAGCUGCUGAGAUACACCCUGGACAAGUCGCUACCUCAUCACAGGGCCAACACAGAUAGACAGACAACAUUCACACUCACAUUCACACACUAGGGCCAAUUUAGUGUUGCCAAUCAAGCAUGAUCAUAAUGUAAGAUGAUUUUUCAUUUUGUUAUUUUGUUAGACUGGAAGUGAUGCGUAGCGCUUUCAUUGUGAAGCCGGCAGUGUGUGAUUGAUAUGAGAAGCGGUGUCUUGACAUAUUUUGACGAAAGUCUCCGAUUAAAAAGUGACUCUCAA